Molecule: ribosomal RNA, 467 nt
Filed under: uncultured bacterium
Lineage: Bacteria
Description: partial 16S ribosomal RNA
Rfam family: Bacterial small subunit ribosomal RNA
Source: RNAcentral
GAUGAACGCUGGCGGCGUGCUUAACACAUGCAAGUCGAACGGAAAGGCCCAAGCUUGCUUGGGUACUCGAGUGGCGAACGGGUGAGUAACACGUGGGUGAUCUGCCCCGCACUUCGGGAUAAGCCUGGGAAACUGGGUCUAAUACCGGAUAGGACAGUGGUUUGGAUGCCAUUGUGGAAAGUUUUUUCGGUGUGGGAUGAGCUCGCGGCCUAUCAGCUUGUUGGUGGGGUAAUGGCCUACCAAGGCGUCGACGGGUAGCCGGCCUGAGAGGGUGUACGGCCACAAUUGGGAUGGGAUACGGCCCAGGCUCCCACGGGGGGCAGCAGGGGGGGAUAUUUCACAAUUGGGGGAAGCCUGAUGCAACGGAGGCGGGGUGGGGAUGGCCGCCUUCGGGUUGUAAACUCCUUUCGCUAGGGACGAAGCGUUAUGUGACGGUACCUAGAGAAGAAGCACCGGCUAACUACGUG